GCAUGCUUGAAUUUGGUGCUAGGAUAUAAGUUUGUUUCACCUAAUUGUUAUGAAUUUAUAUUCACAAGUAGUGAAGGUCGUUAGUCACGAUCGUGUUAAGUAGAUUCCUGGCAAGAGUAUCAUGCUUUUCAUAGUUACAAAUGCCUUGUCGAUGCUUAUGAUUUCCAAAGAACGUAAUGAUUCUAACUUGUAUCUUUAUCAUGCGGUUCAUAUAGAGAACUUGUUAGGAAUAAUUUGUUUGCGAUGCAUAUUCAUUCCAAUUCAAUGAUCCUAGGGAAAUCUGAAGGUUAAUUUAAAGCGGACCUAAUUAACUUGGAGUGUCGAGGUUCAUAACUUAUUGAAUUGAUAACUGGAAAUUGAUUUACGUUGCAUAUAUUUCAUGUGUGGAGAAGAACCCCUUAGCCAUUCCAUCAUCCAUUGAUUCUUCAUAACUUUGUAUUACAGUCUGUUUCUCUUACAAUCUGCCAUAUAAGUUUAUUUUCGUCCAAAUAAAAUCCCCAAUUAUUUUGAAUUCCUAGAUUAAUUGGAAAGUGUGUUGGUUUAUGUUUUUAAGUGUUUUGGUAUAAGUUAAAACCCAAAAAUUCGUCCAAUUUGAUGCUUCUGUUCAAAACUGCCCAGAAAGUGGUUUUUAGGCAGUUUUGAGUGUUUGGUUGCUGUUUUGAUUCUUUUGGUUCGUUUUAGUGUUUUAGAGUUUAGUUUUGCAUUCUUUGAGUCUAAUCUAGUGCUUUAAACUUUGUUUUUACAUUUCUAAGUCAGUUUUCAAGUGUUUAGCAAUCCCUCCUAAUCCCCGGUCUAGAACGAUCCCUAUUUACAUACUUUGCUACAAUUGAUAAAAAGAGGGUUUAAUUUUGUGUGUUAACUUAUUUUUCACAUCAAUUUCUCAACUCACUUUGAUUUGAGUUGAGUCUUGGUUCACCAAUCUACUAGGCUUUGAAUUUCAUGGGUAAUGUUUUGUUUUUUGAAUGCAUGCAAGCAUGAUUCCGCCUUUUAAUUGUUAAAUGCAUGCUAUAGAUGUUAUUCAAAUGAACAUGUUUUCACAAAAUCAUCCUUCAAUAUCUACCACCAUUCACACAGCGAGAAACAUUCACAAACAUCCUUGCCGCAACCAUCAACUAAUCCAUUCACUACCAUACACAAUUCCAGCCAUUCUCCCAUACAAACCACCCUUCAAACCUUCACCCAACCCUUGUGCUGCAACAAAGAGAAGCAGGAGGACCCUUGGACGUGCUUGCCAUUCAAGUUGGAUUGCUGGAACGUUUUUAGGAGUUUUCAUUCUUUGUUUUCAAUGUCUAAAUUUAUGUAUCUUUGUUUUGUGAACAUAAGGAGCUAAACCCCUUUUAGCUAGGGGGAAGUUUGAAGCCAUGAACAUCCUUGAGAUAUGAAUUGAUUUCUUCCAAUUGUGAUUUGAUAAGUUGUGAAUGCAAUUCAAUUAACUCUUUUCUUCAAAACUGAUUCUUGUAUGUUGAUUAAGGAUGCAAACUUAGUUUUCAUGCAUGAAUUUGAUGCUAGAAUAUAAAUGAGUUUCACCUAAUCAUUACAAAUUUAUAUUCAUGAGUAGUGAAGGUUGCUAGUCACAAUCGCGUUAAUUGAAUUUUUGGCAAACGUAUCAUGCAUUCAUAAUUACAAAUGUCUCGUCAACACUUAUGAUUUUCGUGGAACGUAAUGAUCUCUGGUUGUAUCUCUAUUAUGCAUUCAUGUAGGGGGACCUUUGGACAAUAAUUUGGGUUGUCGCAUGCAUUCAUCUAAUUCAAUAAGUAAACGAAAAUCUGAUGGUUAAUUAGUGCAUCACAGUUAAUCUGGGGUGUUGAGCUUCAUAAUUCAUUGAAAAACAAGUGGAAAUCAAUUCAUGUACAAGUGUGUCAUGUGUGAAGAAUGGACCUUUAGCUAAUCCAUCAACCAUCUUAUUUGCCAAAAAUUCGUUUUACAAUCUAUUUAGUUUUACAAUUUGUUUACUUGCUUAAAAUUUGUCAAAAACCCAAUCCCCUUUACUUUAGAGUGUCUAAUUAGUUAGAAUCUGUAUUAGUUUAUAUUUUUAAGUGUUUUGAGUCAAGUUUCAAUCAAUUUUUGUCUAAGUCAUUCCUAGUGUCUAGUUUGAGUCUAUUUAGUCGUUUUAAGCUGUUUUGAGUCAUUCUAGUUAGUUUUGAGUCUUUUCAGUUUGUUUUGAGUUCUUUGAGUCUAGUUAAGUGUUUUUAAAGCCUAGUUUUAUGUUUUAAGGUCAGUUUUAAUAGAUUAGCAAUCUCCUAAUCCCUGGUCUAGUGAUGUGAAAAAUAAGUUAACACACAAAAUUAAACCCUCUUUUAUCAAUUGUAGCAAAGUAUGUAAAUAGGGAUCGUUCUGUUGGAAAUGUGCCCUAAAGCCAAUCAUGUGAUGAUACUUUACGGACAUUUCACAUGUUAAACUAAUCUAGUUUUACAUAUAAAGGGUAAAGAUUAUUGUUUGAGCCGUCUCAUAUAAAUGUUAUAUGCUUAAACGAUAAAGUCCAAGGAAUAUGUGAU
RNAcentral lists this long non-coding RNA (2495 nucleotides) under Malus domestica (apple). Its description in RNAcentral is "long non-coding RNA (MDOM_LNC018575)". Lineage: Eukaryota; Viridiplantae; Streptophyta; Magnoliopsida; Rosales; Rosaceae. The record is from RNAcentral.